Molecule: long non-coding RNA, 2661 nt
Organism: Passer domesticus (house sparrow)
Lineage: Eukaryota; Metazoa; Chordata; Aves; Passeriformes; Passeridae
Exons: 9
Source: RefSeq, a predicted model, not a curated record
UUUUCACAGCCAGCCUUCUCCAGAAAAGUCUUUGACUCCUUCUCCCUGGGAUUGGUUAAUGGGCAUGUGCUAUAUAGCAAAGGCUGGAGGUUAAGUUUUAUCUCUAUUUGCUUGGUGUUCUUGCUGGGAUUAAAGCACCUGGAGUUCUGCUACUAGUGGCUUGCAGCACUGCUUCAUCUUCAUCUAUCGGAGCAAAAUAAAAACCAAAAAAAGACUGCUUUUUAAAAAGCUUUCUGCUGUUCUCAAAUGACAAAAAGUGGAUUAUAGAAGUUGUCCCCAUAGUAGAAGCAGAAGUACUUGGAGAUGAUACCACGUUCAGCACUGAUGAGAUGUAAGGUCCAAUGUUCAUGUCUCAAAAUGAGAUGGGAGAGAAAGAACUGGGUCGCACAGAUGAUGUGAGACGAACAGACAUAGCAGAUGUUGUACAUCUAUCACACUUACACUCAUGCAGUAUGUGGAACCAGUCCUGUGAAAUGCUGUAUUUCAGUGGGAUUUGACAGUGCAAGCAGGCUCAGAAGUACCUCCUGAAACAAUGGAUAAAGUAGAAAACAUCAAAUUACUCCAGAGUUCCUGUGACUUGUAGGGUGGAAUGACUAGUGCAGAUUUCAGUCUGCCUAAAAUAAUUUUCUCUGCUGGAUGGAGCAGAUUAUUACAAGGAAAACCUCUCAAACCCAUUGCCAUCGUGCCAGUUUCAGUGGGAGAACCUGAUGACCUGAACCUCCUGACCAGUCAGGUGUUCCCACCUCUUAGGAGAAACAAAGCCCAAAAUUCUCAGUAGGAUGAAGAUUGUCAUUCUGUUCCAAUAAGCACACAGGGCAGCACAGAAGCAAAGAGACUGGGGUCUGAGAGUUACACAGACAAAGCAGAGGAAAGGAUGUGAGAAAACAGCAGAGCCAGCCACUGAAACCUCACAGACACCUGAAAGGAGGUUGUUUGUAGCCAGGUGAGGGAGAGCCAAUUCCCCCUGGCAGCCAGAGACAGGACGAGAGGACAUAGCCUUAAAUUGUGCAGGUGCUGGUUCAGGUUGGGCAUCAGGAGGAAUUCCUUCACUGAGAUGGCUGCUAAACAGUGGAAUGGGCUGGAAGUGUUUAAGGAAAGACUGGACACUGCACAUGGUGGUGGUGGUCACUCAAAGAUUGGACUUGGUAAUCUCAGAGGUUUUUUCCAACCUGAUUGAUUCUCUGUGGGUGACUGUGUGUAAGCUUGUGCAAGGCCAGCAAAAAAAGGACUGACUUCAUAACUUGAGGCAAAACUAGUAUGCCAAUAAUGUGCAUUCCUGCUUGCAGAAACUUCUGUAGCUAUUACAUCAGGUUGGAGAUUGCCAUGAGGUGAAUGAAUUUGGGGUCAGAGGGAAUAUGGCUACUUAAGUCUCUGAAAUACAUCAUCUUCAUCUCUGAAUCUGGGAAGAUUGCUGUGAGCAGCUUCUAUAGAGCAGAGCUGAUAGUCAUCUCACUGAGUCAAUACAAGUUCACCAGUUUAGAGAAGCUGAAGAUCAAUCUGAUACAUUUAUUUUUCUAAGUUUAUCUGUGUUUACCCUCACACCUCUUGCGUACCAUAUGAAUGUCCCAAGUGACAGAAAUCGUUGUAACAGAAAAUGGAAGAAAAGCUAUGGGCAAAAUAUAUGUUGAACUCUUUCUAGUAGGUUUAGGUAUACUGUAUUCUUGAAUAAAGCCACAGUAUGUUUUAAACCCAAAAUAUGACAUCUUCACUGAAAAAAAACCCCAAAACUAAGAAAAUUCUUCUGUCACUCUCCAUAUUUUAUUUUCAGGAAAUAAAUACAAUAGUCUUCUAAUAUGCAAGAGUAUUAUGCAUUAUGACUAUAACUUCAUACUGUACCUAUAUUAGUUCUAGGUGAUCUGCUUUCUAUCAGCUUCCAGGGCAAAGUGGUUUUGGGUGAUUUUUCCCCCCAUUAGUAUUUCCUAAAUUACAGUAAUCUAAUUCUUGCUAAUUGGUAUCUCAUUUGAAGAAUCUUUUCACAGCAGCUCCAGGACUCCUGAAGGUUGCAACUAUAUAAAAUAUUUGCUUAAACCAAGUUUUCAAAGUUUUUUUUGUCUAACCUUUUAAUUUUUUGUGUCUUGUAUUAUGAUUAUGAAAAUGCUCUGAUUAAUUUCUGAGCACUUAGUUUUUUCUCAUCCCUGCUGGGUCUUUGGUUUGUCGAAGGAAUUUCUGCACAGGAAAAGGUUACAUAAGAGGGCAAUCCAAAUUGUGGAUACUUUAUCUUACACACAAGUUUAUAAACUCAAAUUUGGAGACUAUGUUUUAAUUAUAGCCUUUUAAGUUUCUUUACCUUUCUUGAGAAGAUUAAUGUUUGAGAUUGUAAUGAAUAAUAUUUGAAUUAUUCAUUUUAAUUAAAAUUGAUCAUGAGAACUAAUUAAAAGACACGCAACUGGUUACUGGAAGCAUAGUUGGACUACUUUUCAAAAAUACCAUUUGGUGUUCAACAUUAGGCUCAUGUUGAUUUUAGAAAUUAUAUUCUAUAAAUAAUAAGGAGCUAUAAUUAAUUCUGCAUAAGAAUUUGGAAAUCUAAUCUUUCAUAAAAAGAUAUUGGGCAGUGCUAUAUGGUUUUGAAAAAUCAUGAGUUCUUUUUUCAUAUAAAGCUUUAUGCAGCACUCAAAAAUGUCAACUGAAAAAAGAUUUAAAAUGACCUUUUAAUUUCUUUUU